UACGUAGGGGGCAAGCGUUGUCCGGAAUCAUUGGGCGUAAAGAGCGUGUAGGUGGUUCGAUAAGUCUGCUGUGAAAGUCCAGGGCUCAACCCUGGGAUGCCGGUGGAUACUGUCGGGCUAGAGUUCGGAAGAGGCAAGUGGAAUUCCUGGUGUAGCGGUGAAAUGCGCAGAUAUCAGGAGGAACACCAACGGCGAAGGCAGCUUGCUGGGACGAUACUGACACUGAGACGCGAAAGCGUGGGUAGCGAACAGG
This 253-nucleotide ribosomal RNA is filed under the name uncultured bacterium. Its description in RNAcentral is "partial 16S ribosomal RNA". It matches the Rfam family "Bacterial small subunit ribosomal RNA", at positions 524 to 776 of the family's 1533-position model. The record is from RNAcentral.